This 1925-nucleotide ribosomal RNA is filed under the name Escherichia coli. Its description in RNAcentral is "bacterial LSU rRNA". It matches the Rfam family "Bacterial large subunit ribosomal RNA", at positions 1038 to 2925 of the family's 2925-position model. The record is from RNAcentral. Lineage: Bacteria; Pseudomonadati; Pseudomonadota; Gammaproteobacteria; Enterobacterales; Enterobacteriaceae.
GCUAAGGUCCCAAAGUCAUGGUUAAGUGGGAAACGAUGUGGGAAGGCCCAGACAGCCAGGAUGUUGGCUUAGAAGCAGCCAUCAUUUAAAGAAAGCGUAAUAGCUCACUGGUCGAGUCGGCCUGCGCGGAAGAUGUAACGGGGCUAAACCAUGCACCGAAGCUGCGGCAGCGACACUGUGUGUUGUUGGGUAGGGGAGCGUUCUGUAAGCCUGCGAAGGUGUGCUGUGAGGCAUGCUGGAGGUAUCAGAAGUGCGAAUGCUGACAUAAGUAACGAUAAAGCGGGUGAAAAGCCCGCUCGCCGGAAGACCAAGGGUUCCUGUCCAACGUUAAUCGGGGCAGGGUGAGUCGACCCCUAAGGCGAGGCCGAAAGGCGUAGUCGAUGGGAAACAGGUUAAUAUUCCUGUACUUGGUGUUACUGCGAAGGGGGGACGGAGAAGGCUAUGUUGGCCGGGCGACGGUUGUCCCGGUUUAAGCGUGUAGGCUGGUUUUCCAGGCAAAUCCGGAAAAUCAAGGCUGAGGCGUGAUGACGAGGCACUACGGUGCUGAAGCAACAAAUGCCCUGCUUCCAGGAAAAGCCUCUAAGCAUCAGGUAACAUCAAAUCGUACCCCAAACCGACACAGGUGGUCAGGUAGAGAAUACCAAGGCGCUUGAGAGAACUCGGGUGAAGGAACUAGGCAAAAUGGUGCCGUAACUUCGGGAGAAGGCACGCUGAUAUGUAGGUGAAGUCCCUCGCGGAUGGAGCUGAAAUCAGUCGAAGAUACCAGCUGGCUGCAACUGUUUAUUAAAAACACAGCACUGUGCAAACACGAAAGUGGACGUAUACGGUGUGACGCCUGCCCGGUGCCGGAAGGUUAAUUGAUGGGGUCAGCGCAAGCGAAGCUCUUGAUCGAAGCCCCGGUAAACGGCGGCCGUAACUAUAACGGUCCUAAGGUAGCGAAAUUCCUUGUCGGGUAAGUUCCGACCUGCACGAAUGGCGUAAUGAUGGCCAGGCUGUCUCCACCCGAGACUCAGUGAAAUUGAACUCGCUGUGAAGAUGCAGUGUACCCGCGGCAAGACGGAAAGACCCCGUGAACCUUUACUAUAGCUUGACACUGAACAUUGAGCCUUGAUGUGUAGGAUAGGUGGGAGGCUUUGAAGUGUGGACGCCAGUCUGCAUGGAGCCGGCCUUGAAAUACCACCCUUUAAUGUUUGAUGUUCUAACGUUGACCCGUGAUCCGGGUUGCGGACAGUGUCUGGUGGGUAGUUUGACUGGGGCGGUCUCCUCCUAAAGAGUAACGGAGGAGCACGAAGGUUGGCUAAUCCUGGUCGGACAUCAGGAGGUUAGUGCAAUGGCAUAAGCCAGCUUGACUGCGAGCGUGACGGCGCGAGCAGGUGCGAAAGCAGGUCAUAGUGAUCCGGUGGUUCUGAAUGGAAGGGCCAUCGCUCAACGGAUAAAAGGUACUCCGGGGAUAACAGGCUGAUACCGCCCAAGAGUUCAUAUCGACGGCGGUGUUUGGCACCUCGAUGUCGGCUCAUCACAUCCUGGGGCUGAAGUAGGUCCCAAGGGUAUGGCUGUUCGCCAUUUAAAGUGGUACGCGAGCUGGGUUUAGAACGUCGUGAGACAGUUCGGUCCCUAUCUGCCGUGGGCGCUGGAGAACUGAGGGGGGCUGCUCCUAGUACGAGAGGACCGGAGUGGACGCAUCACUGGUGUUCGGGUUGUCAUGCCAAUGGCACUGCCCGGUAGCUAAAUGCGGAAGAGAUAAGUGCUGAAAGCAUCUAAGCACGAAACUUGCCCCGAGAUGAGUUCUCCCUGACUCCUUGAGAGUCCUGAAGGAACGUUGAAGACGACGACGUUGAUAGGCCGGGUGUGUAAGCGCAGCGAUGCGUUGAGCUAACCGGUACUAAUGAACCGUGAGGCUUAACCUUACAACGCCGAAGGUGUUU